RNAcentral lists this small RNA (786 nucleotides) under Pongo abelii (Sumatran orangutan). RNAcentral's name for it is "processed transcript". The record is from RNAcentral. Lineage: Eukaryota; Metazoa; Chordata; Mammalia; Primates; Hominidae.
CUCCUGCCUCACAGUGCCCCGCCUUCACUGCGUCCUCUGCUGGACAGCAUCGUCAACGCCACAGGAAGACUACCGCUGCUGGCCAUCCUACCACCACGGGAGCUGCCUCCUUUCAGUGUUCAACCUGGCUGAGGCCAUGGAUGUCUGUGAGAGCCAUGCCCAGUGUCGGGCCUUUGUGGUCACCAACCAGACCACCUGGACAGGUCGGCAGCUGGUCUUUUUCAAGACUGGAUGGAGCCAAGUGGUCCCUGAUCCCAACAAGACCACAUAUGUGAAGGCCUCUGGCUGACCUAUCUGAGGGCUCGGCUGACCAGCUGACUAUCCUCAGCAGCUGGGCUUGCCUGUGGAGGGAGUGACUUGCACUGGCAGCGCUGCAUGUCACCUGGGAACCCCUGCAGACAAAGCUGACAUCCCAGACAGACCGAUGUGACCAGGACAAACGUGCAAUAAUGCCAAAUGUUAAAAUGUGAGUUUAUCAGCCUAGCUAUGGGACUGCUGGCUCCUAGUCCAGGAAUCAUGGGGGGAUGACUGCCUCUCCAACCCUCUGGGCUGUAAGCAAGCCCGGGCUAGUCUCCCCAGUGGGGGCUGUGCCCCUCCCUGGGACAGUUCCGUGGGCAGCCCCAUCACUGUGUUCAAUAGUGUGAGAAUGUAGCUAAAGCCCCUGCUGCUGCUGCUGCACAUGCCACAGCAGGCGGGGGAGCUGCGUGGGGACAAUCCAUCGUGGAGUGUUCUCUCAGCUUAGGUCUGGACAGGAGACUUGGCGGGGGAUGCUCCAGGAUGUGGGUG